RNAcentral lists this ribosomal RNA (441 nucleotides) under uncultured bacterium. RNAcentral's name for it is "partial 16S ribosomal RNA". It matches the Rfam family "Bacterial small subunit ribosomal RNA", at positions 338 to 795 of the family's 1533-position model. The record is from RNAcentral.
CCUACGGGAGGCAGCAGUGGGGAAUAUUGCACAAUGGGGGAAACCCUGAUGCAGCGACGCCGCGUGAGUGAAGAAGUAUUUCGGUAUGUAAAGCUCUAUCAGCAGGGACGAGACAAGACGGUACCUGACUAAGACGCCCCGGCUAACUACGUGCCAGCAGCCGCGGCAAUACGUAGGGGGCAAGCGUUAUCCGGAAUCACUGGGUGUAAAGGGAGCGUAGACGGCUGUGCAAGCCUGAAGUGGAAGGCGGGGGCCCAACCCCUGGACUGCUUUGGGAACUGUACGGCUGGAGUGCAGGAGAGGAAAGUGGAAGUCCUAGUGUAGCGGUGAAAUGCGUAGAUAUUAGGAGGAACACCAGUGGCGAAGGCGGCUUACUGGACUGUAACUGACGUUGAGGCUCGAAAGCGUGGGGAGCAAACAGGAUUAGAUACCCCGGUAGUC